This 41-nucleotide ribosomal RNA is filed under the name Melica bulbosa. Its description in RNAcentral is "partial 26S ribosomal RNA". The record is from RNAcentral. Lineage: Eukaryota; Viridiplantae; Streptophyta; Magnoliopsida; Poales; Poaceae.
GACCCCAGGUCAGGCGGGACUACCCGCUGAAUUUAAGCAUA